RNAcentral lists this small nucleolar RNA (126 nucleotides) under Dasypus novemcinctus (nine-banded armadillo). Its description in RNAcentral is "Small nucleolar RNA SNORA63 (ENSDNOG00000027497.1)". Lineage: Eukaryota; Metazoa; Chordata; Mammalia; Cingulata; Dasypodidae. The record is from RNAcentral.
AAUUUAGACUACAAUAUAACAGUUCAUUGCUGUGCUGUCCUUUUCCCAGCUAAAAAGAAAGUUGUUUUUUAUCUACCCCUGUCUACUGAACUCUUGUAGCAGCCAGGAAUGCUUGAUCUCAUACCC